RNAcentral lists this ribosomal RNA (439 nucleotides) under uncultured bacterium. Its description in RNAcentral is "partial 16S ribosomal RNA". It matches the Rfam family "Bacterial small subunit ribosomal RNA", at positions 339 to 795 of the family's 1533-position model. The record is from RNAcentral.
CUACGGGGUGCUGUAGUGGGGAAUAUUGCACAAUGGGGGAAACCCUGAUGCAGCGACGCCGCGUGAGUGAAGAAGUAUUUCGGUAUGUAAAGCUCUAUCAGCAGGGAAGAAAAUGACGGUACCUGACUAAGAAGCCCCGGCUAACUACGUGCCAGCAGCCGCGGUAAUACGUAGGGGGCAAGCGUUAUCCGGAUUUACUGGGUGUAAAGGGAGCGUAGACGGUGAGACAAGUCUGAAGUGAAAUCCCGGGGCUCAACCCCGGAACUGCUUUGGAAACUGCCUGACUGGAGUGCAGGAGAGGUAAGUGGAAUUCCUAGUGUAGCGGUGAAAUGCGUAGAUAUUAGGAGGAACACCAGUGGCGAAGGCGGCUUACUGGACUGUAACUGACGUUGAGGCUCGAAAGCGUGGGGAGCAAACAGGAUUAGAUACCCCCGUAGUC